GCCCCCGUUGUGUAGCGGCCUAGCACGCCGCCCUCUCACGGCGGUAGCGCCGGUUCGAAUCCGGUCGGGGGUACCA
This 76-nucleotide transfer RNA is filed under the name Nocardioides sp. Its description in RNAcentral is "tRNA-Glu". It matches the Rfam family "tRNA". Rfam says of the family: Transfer RNA (tRNA) molecules are approximately 80 nucleotides in length. The record is from RNAcentral. RNAcentral also lists the same sequence under 8 other names. Lineage: Bacteria; Bacillati; Actinomycetota; Actinomycetes; Propionibacteriales; Nocardioidaceae.